Molecule: ribosomal RNA, 1986 nt
Filed under: Derocheilocaris typica
Lineage: Eukaryota; Metazoa; Arthropoda; Mystacocarida; Mystacocaridida; Derocheilocarididae
Description: SSU rRNA
Rfam family: Eukaryotic small subunit ribosomal RNA
Source: RNAcentral
CCUGGUUGAUCCUGCCAGUAGUCAUAUGCUUGUCUCAAAGAUUAAGCCAUGCAUGUCUAAGUACAUGCCGCAUUAAGGCGAAACCGCGAAUGGCUCAUUAAAUCAGUUACGGUUCACGAGAUGCUGACAAUCCUACUUGGAUAACUGUGGUAAUUCUAGAGCUAAUACAUGCACCAAAGCCACGACCUGGGCAUCUCGGUGCCCGGGAAGAGGCGCACUUAUUAGACCAAGACCAACUGCGGNCGCUCGCGGNCGCACCAACUCAUGGUGACUCUAGAUAAUCAAGCUGAUCGCAUGGNCUCGCGCCGGCGACUCAUCUUUCAAGUGUCUGCCUUAUCAACUGUCGAUGGUGGGUUACACGCCCACCCAUGGUGAUAACGGGUAACGGGGAAUCAGGGUUCGAUUCCGGAGAGGGAGCCUGAGAAACGGCUACCACAUCCAAGGAAGGCAGCAGGCGCGCAAAUUACUCACUCCCGGCACGGGGAAGUAGUGACGAAAAAUAACAAUGCGGCGCUCAUACGAGUGUCCGCAAUUGUAAUGAGUACAAUCUAAAUCCUUUAACGAGGACCAAUUGGAGGGCAAGUCUGGUGCCAGCAGCCGCGGUAAUUCCAGCUCCAAUAGCGUAUAUUAAAGUUGUUGCGGGUAAAAAGCUCGUAGUUGGAUCUCAUCGCUCUGUUUCUCGUGUCUGGUCUGCUUCGGCGGGCCAGUUACACGAGGGCAGCGAUACAUUACUGUGUCUCGCAACUAGCUGCGCUUCGGCGUGGUCAAGUACGGGCUCGCGUCGCGGUCCCCUUCACCGGGCGCCGCGGCCGCACAGUAGGUUUACUUUGAAAAAAUUAGAGUGCUCAAAGCAGGCAGUCAUUCAACAGACAUGCCAGAAUAUUGUUGCAUGGAAUAAUGGAAUAGGACCUCGGUCCCUUAUUCUGUUGGUCUCCGGAACCGGAGGUAAUGAUUAAGAGGGACAGACGGGGGCAUUCGUACUGCAGCGCUAGAGGUGAAAUUCUUGGACCGCUGCAAGACGCACGACAGCGAAAGCAUUUGCCAAGAAUGUUUUCAUUAAUCAAGAACGAAAGUUAGAGGUUCGAAGGCGAUCAGAUACCGCCCUAGUUCUAACCAUAAACGAUGCCAACCAGCGAUCCGCCUGAGCCGCAAUUGAAAGACGACUCGGCGGGCAGCUUCCGGAAACCCACAGUGUUUCGGUUCCGGGGGAAGUAUGGUUCCAAAGCUGAAACUUAAAGGAAUUGACGGAAGGGCACCACCAGGAGUGGAGCCUGCGGCUUAAUUUGACUCAACACGGGGAAACUCACCCGGCCCGGACACUGGCAUGAUUGACAGUUUGAUAGCUCUUUCUUGAUUCGGUGGGUGGUGGUGCAUGGCCGUUCUUAGUUGGUGGAGUGAUUUGUCUGGUUAAUUCCGAUAACGAACGAGACUCUAGCCUACUAACUAGUCGUCCGCGUGCCUUUGUUUUUUGUUAUUUUCUGUGCUACUCUUCGGGGUAGUUCUAGAAAAUGGCAACGCAGAGGUCUCCGCGCGACUGUGACUUCUUAGAGGGAUGCGCGGUGACUCAGCCGCAUGAAACCGAGAGCAAUAACAGGUCUGUGAUGCCCUUAGAUGUCCGGGGCCGCACGCGCGCUACACUGAAAAGAUCAGCGUGCAUAAAGUUGACCCUCUCCGAAAGGAGCGGGGAAACCCUUGAACCCUUUCCGUGAUUGGGAUAGGGGCUUGUAACUGUUGCCCUUGAACGAGGAAUUCCUAGUAAGCGCGAUUCAUCCAGAUCGCGUUGAUUACGUCCCUGCCCUUUGUACACACCGCCCCGUCGCUACUACCGAUUGAAUGAUUGGGUGAGCUCUUUGGACCGGUCUCCUUUUGUCGCCUGCUUCGGUUGGUGNCUGUUGGAGUGCUGGAAAGAUGCGCGAACUCGUUCAUUUAGAGGAAGUAAAAGUCGGAACAAGGUUUCCGUAGGUGAACCUGCGGAAGGAUCAAUUA